GUUAGCGACCGCAGCCGCCGCUAGGGGCGCUAGUGUCGUUAUUUUUAGAAUUGCGGACGAUUUUGGGUCACGGACAGGCCGACGUUUAAGGUCCAAGUACGCAUAUUUUGACCAAAUGUAUGCGAUUUUUUUUUAUGGUGUCGCGUCGUACACAUGUUCAAGUGCGCGUAUUUCGCAAAACUAGCAUCUGACCACGAAAGAUGAAAAAACGACGAGAUUCCUGCUACAAGGGUUGAAGAAUGCCUCAUCUCGAAGAAAAUACUGUGGAAGAUAAAUAUGAGAACUUGUUAUGACUGUCUAUGAUAACAUGUCAAUAACCUAUUCACAAUUAAUACUGGGAAUUGGUUAAAUCUCAUAAUUGAUGAUUGAUUCAUUACAACCGAUCAAUCAUCGAAAAUAAUUGGUUUUCGCCAUUUAUCAAAUCUUCCUGACUGUGUGCUUUAAUG
Long non-coding RNA from Haliotis rubra (blacklip abalone), 446 nucleotides. RefSeq lists it as uncharacterized. Lineage: Eukaryota; Metazoa; Mollusca; Gastropoda; Lepetellida; Haliotidae. The transcript is spliced from 2 exons. The record is from RefSeq and is a predicted model, not a curated record.